GUGAGGAAUAUUGGUCAAUGGGCGGGAGCCUGAACCAGCCAAGUCGCGCGAAGGAAGAAGGAUCUAUGGUUCGUAAACUUCUUUUGCAGGGGAAUAAAGUGCAGGACGUGUCCUGUUUUGUAUGUACCAUGAGAAUAAGGAUCGGCUAACUCCGUGCCAGCAGCCGCGGUAAUACGGAGGAUCCGAGCGUUAUACGGAUUUAUUGGGUUUAAAGGGUGCGUAGGUGGGUUGAUAAGUCAGCGGUGAAAGUUUGCAGCGUAACAGUAAAAAUGACGUUGAAACUGUCGGACUUGAGUGUAAAUGAAGUAGGCGGAAUGCUUGGUAUAGCGUGGAAAUGCAUAGAUAUCACGCAGAACUCCGAUUGGGAAGGCAGCUUACUAAGCUACAACUGACACUGAUGCACGAAAGCGUGGAGAUCAAACAGUAUUAGAUACCCGGGUAGUCC
Molecule: ribosomal RNA, 445 nt
Filed under: uncultured bacterium
Lineage: Bacteria
Description: partial 16S ribosomal RNA
Rfam family: Bacterial small subunit ribosomal RNA
Source: RNAcentral